This 756-nucleotide ribosomal RNA is filed under the name uncultured Actinomyces sp. RNAcentral describes it as "bacterial SSU rRNA". It matches the Rfam family "Bacterial small subunit ribosomal RNA", at positions 28 to 776 of the family's 1533-position model. The record is from RNAcentral. Lineage: Bacteria; Bacillati; Actinomycetota; Actinomycetes; Actinomycetales; Actinomycetaceae.
GACGAACGCUGGCGGCGUGCUUAACACAUGCAAGUCGAACGAAAAUACCAAGCUUGCUUGGUUGAUUAGUGGCGAACGGGUGAGUAACACGUGAGUAACCUGCCCCUUACUUUCCUGGAUAACUGCUCGAAAGGGUAGCUAAUACGGGAUAUUCUGGCCUUCCUGCAUGGGUUGGUUUGGAAAGGUUGUUUUUUCUGGUAAGGGAUGGGCUCGCGGCCUAUCAGCUUGUUGGUGGGGUGAUGGCCUACCAAGGCUUUGACGGGUAGCCGGCCUGAGAGGGUGGACGGUCACACUGGGACUGACAUCCGGCCCAGACUCCUACGGGAGGCAGCAGUGGGGAAUAUUGCACAAUGGGCGCAAGCCUGAUGCAGCGACGCCGCGUGAGGGAUGAAGGCCUUCGGGUUGUAAACCUCUUUCGUCAGGGAACAAGGCACUGCUUUUGGUGGUGUUGAGGGUACCUGGAUAAGAAGCGCCGGCUAACUACGUGCCAGCAGCCGCGGUAAUACGUAGGGCGCAAGCGUUGUCCGGAAUUAUUGGGCGUAAAGAGCUCGUAGGCGGCUGGUCGCGUCUGUCGUGAAAACUUCCGGCUCAACCGGGGGCUUGCGGUGGGUACGGGCCGGCUAGAGUGCGGUAGGGGUAACUGGAACUCCUGGUGUAGCGGUGGAAUGCGCAGAUAUCAGGAAGAACACCGAUGGCGAAGGCAGGUUACUGGGCCGUUACUGACGCUGAGGAGCGAAAGCGUGGGGAGCGAACAGG